Apis dorsata (giant honeybee) is the source of this 973-nucleotide long non-coding RNA. RefSeq lists it as uncharacterized. NCBI's taxonomy places the organism in Eukaryota, Metazoa, Arthropoda, Insecta, Hymenoptera, Apidae. The record is from RefSeq and is a predicted model, not a curated record. The transcript has 3 exons.
AAUUACGUUUGACCAAUCAUCGCAUGAGCACGCACACAUAAGAAGCGAUUGCUUUCGUAAACUCGCUAUUUGUCAAUGCAACGUUUAAGCACGGAACGAUUCGAACUUUCUCUUCAAUCGAAGUCUUGAAACGGUUAUCAUCGAAAUGGACAAUAACGAAGGGAGAAAUCUGGGAUACCGUUUAUGCAGGAUUCUUUCCAAGUCUUUUUUAUUCAGUCCGCCAUAAAUACGGAAACACACGAUUGUACUAUCGGCGGGAACAAUAAAAGUAGACCUCCCGUAUAGGUUAAGUUUGGCCCGCUUACUAUCGGGCCGCAAGUUACGAUUAAAAGAGCGCGGCGCAGAUCCGCCCAGGCCGUGUUUCGAAUUCUCGGUUUCGAAGAAUACGACAGGGGUGACAGAGGGGUCAGAAGGCCAACUCUUCUCGAGAACUAAACGUCGGAAGCUCAAUUCUCCGAAUCCCAACUCGGAAGACUUUCGCGGAUUUAUGCUUAUCGUAAACAUCAUUGCAGACGAAUCUCGUAGCAACUCGAUUCAAUGGAUGAGAGAUCCGUAUGCUGAUAACUCGAAACAAACAACGAUACCACGCGAAGACAUAAAUACGAAUCGAAAUCUUCUUUCAAUUUAUGUUAUAAUAUUUCAAAUUUAUAAUUAAAAAAAAAUCCAAUAAAAAGAAAAGGAAAAAAGUGAUUCCAAAAUUUUUAAAAUUGGAAAGAGAGAUACAAUUAUCAACGAUCCCGAUUGUAAACUUUCGUCAAAGGCAACGAGGUUCCACACUCUCGACUUAUGGCCGGUUAAAGUCAAUUCGAUAGCAGUUAACGAAUUGUUGGGGGUGAAUAGAAGGGGUUUGCGGUUAACGCGAGGGGUUGACAGGGGAACGCAUAAUACAUUGUUACCCCAUCCACCGGAUUCAACUUCCCCUUCCACAUGCAGUAAUUUUCUCCGCGCGAAACUCGACAUCGGAGUGAACUAU